GGAUUAGAUACCCUGGUAGUCCACGCCGUAAACGUUGUGCACUAGUCGUCGGGGGUAUUCACCCCUCCGGUGACGAAGCUAACGCAUUAAGUGCACCGCCUGGGAAGUACGGCCGCAAGGCUAAAACUCAAAGGAAUUGACGGGGGCCCGCACAAGCGGUGGAGCAUGUGGUUUAAUUCGAUGCAACGCGAAGAACCUUACCUGGCCUUGACAUCCCGAGAAUCCCUGUGAAAGCAGGGAGUGCCCUAGGGAAUUCGGUGACAGGUGCUGCAUGGCUGUCGUCAGCUCGUGCUG
RNAcentral lists this ribosomal RNA (294 nucleotides) under uncultured bacterium. RNAcentral's name for it is "partial 16S ribosomal RNA". It matches the Rfam family "Bacterial small subunit ribosomal RNA", at positions 775 to 1067 of the family's 1533-position model. The record is from RNAcentral.